Anolis carolinensis (green anole) is the source of this 21847-nucleotide RNA transcript. It is a transcript of the gene named protocadherin beta-14, with no coding region annotated. The record is from RefSeq and is a predicted model, not a curated record. The transcript is spliced from 2 exons. NCBI's taxonomy places the organism in Eukaryota, Metazoa, Chordata, Lepidosauria, Squamata, Anolidae.
AUUGAUGUUUCUUUCUUCUUAUUUAUUAUCCUGUCAAUGACAUAUAUUGUACCUAGACACAUAGUUGUGCAAAAUUCUACCUGUUCAUGUCAAAUAAUUGCAAGAAGUUCUGUUUUACUGAAGUUCUACAAAUUUCUUUUUAACUGUUAGUACAUUAGUAUUCCAUAGACAAACAUUUACUUAUAUCAUUGUAUCAUUAUCAUGUUUACUCUGUUUGUAUUGCACCAGACUUAUGUAAUUCUGUAUGACCAAUCCAUUUUUUGUGUGAUCCAUCCCAGUCUUAUCAGUUAUUAACCUAUCCAUUCAGAAUUUCUUAGAUUUUAGGUGGCUGCCUAAUACAAAAUGCAAAUGUAUAUAUCAAAUAAUAAUAACAUUCUCCAUCCACAAUUCUUGGUUUCCCACUCUUCUUGACUCAUAUAUAUGUAAUUAAAGUAAAGCCCAAUUUUCAUGCCUCUAAUAUUAAAGCUGAAUUUCCUUUGCUAAUUUUGUCAAUUUCCAAGACUCUAACAAUCUAAUCAAAAUCAAUUAGUGUUACAGUAUUUUUUUAUAGUCCAUUUUUGUAGACUCUCCCAAAUAGCUUCUGAAUACCAAGUAUCUCGAGCUUCUCAUGCCUGGAGAUACUUCUCUAGGAGUUUUGUUCCAUCUAGCCCAUUUAAAAUUUGUCCCCCGUUUCCACUUCAUGUUCAUCACCUCUGAUUCCUGUAUUCAAAUUCCUGCUACGUUAAUUUGGGUCUACAUCUUUCUUAAAAUUUGGAUGUUUUCAUAGACACCUCUCUAUCUAAGUAGGGGCUUUUGUUAUUCUGGGUGUAUAUUUUCUUGCAGGUUUUUUGAUUGGAGAUGCUGUAAUUGUUGUUUUGGUUGUAUAUUUAUGUCUCGUUGUCUUCCAGCCUUGUUGCCUCUUCAGGAAAUACAUUUGUCACAUCUUCCUCUAUAAUCCCGUAAUGAUCAGCUCUCUGUAUUAAAAUUCCCACUUUGUAUGCCACAGUGUCUAGAAAUUUGACCCACUAAAUAUUAGAUAUAUUGAGAGCUUUAUUCAAAAUUCCAAGCUGUUGGCUCAAUUCCUGUUUCCACUCUUUUCUUUCCCUCCCCUUCCUCCUCUUGCUCCUCCUCCUCCGUUUAAAUCCUUAUAAAUAAUAAUCUUUUAAUUUGUCUUGCAUUUUUUUCUCCUUGCACAUUUGUACAUUUAAUCUCUUUAAGGUACAAAAAGAUUGGUACAAUUAUUCCUUUAAACCACUAGAUGUUGUCUUUUUGUUAUAUUUCUAUUACUUGGCUGUUGAAAAACAGUCUUUGUAUUCCAUAGAGAGUGAAAUUUCUUUGUUUACACUGUGCGGCUUUUCAAGGUCAGUUUCCAGGACAACUCAAUUCUUCUCAUUAAACUGGCAGAUUUUAGAUCACGGUUAAAUAAGGUUCUUCUAAAAUUCUUCUUAAAUUAUUUUACCACCACACUUCAUACUUCCAUUUAAAAUUAUUUUAUCUAAUUCUUCUGCAAUUAGUUGCUUGUGUUUAGUUGAAAUUCAUUUUCUUGUUCUUUCACCAUCUCUCCAUUUUUCCUUUUUUCCUCCCUCCACAUUUAGGACAUAAAUCUUCUUGUUUUUCUUUGUUUUCUUUAGCUUCUAAGGAUCUUCAGGGAUGUGGGGGUGUAGGUAUCAGCGCUAUAUAGCUGGAUUUACAGCAGCAAUCCAAUUCGUGUGUACUCCUUUCAGCCAUGCUGUUUUGAUGAGGCUGUUGUCACAGAAUCCCCUCUGAGGAAUUCUGCUGUCUGACAGUCCCUCUUUAGAAGCUGCUGUGCAAGAAGUUAUCACGUUACUUAGCCCUUAAUUUCAUGUAGCCUAGGCAGGGUUGUAGCCAGAAAAAAUGCCGGGGGGGGGGGGGGGUUGAAACAGUUUUUAGCGAAUCAUGAAGAGUAGUUCCAUAACACAAAAAUAAUUUAAAUAGUAUGGUUCAUUCUAUAUUUUUGUAUUGACUUAUUUAAAUAAAUUUCUACUUUAGUUACAAAGUUUCAAGUCUUACAAUAACUGAAAAUGACUGAUAAUUGGUAAUUUAUAGUUACACUAGCUGUGCCCGGCCACGCGUUGCUGUGGCAAAGUAUGGUGGUAUGGGAAAUAAAGUAUUGAGGAAUUGGUGGUAGUUAAGGUAAAGGGUAAAGGUUUUCCCCUGACAUUAAGUCCAUUAUAAAUGGGUUAUAUAGCUGUGUGGAAGGGCCUUGAGUCUACACUGCCAUAUAAUCCAGUUAAAAUCAGAUAAUUUGUAUUUUAUAGGCAGUGUGGAAGAGGCCUAAGCGAGGCCUAACUCUACCUGUCCCCUGGGCUGAGUGGGUUGUUAGGAGACCAAGUGGGCGGAGCUUAGCCUUCUAACAGGCAGCAAUUGGAUAAAAACAAUUAUUCCUCUCCCUCUAAUUAGGACUUUAUUUUUCUUUUCUUUUUGUUGUAUGAACGUAGAGGCAUGGAUGAGGGGUUGUGCUGCCAUGUUUAGUGUUUCUGGGAUGUGUGGUUUUGUUGUUUUGUCCUAGGCUGAAAUUUCAUUACCCUUUUAUAUAUAUAUAGAAAAUAAUACCACAAUGUCUGUUGGAAACACCUGAAAACUGUGUCAAUACACUUUGACAGAAAUCAGGCUCCAUCGACAAACUUCAAUGGGAACUCAUGAGUCCUUUCAGUCUUACUUGGCCCAUUGUGCUUCUUAUGUAUGUUUUCAAAUGCUUAAGACUUGAAAAUGACCUAUACACACACACACACACACACACACACACACACACAGAGUUUAAAUUGGCAUAUCUAAAAGUCAAGAUGAAUGACCCAUACAUAUUAUUAGGUUUUUUAGAAACUACAUAAUAUACCUUUAAUUUGGUACCUAAUUAUUCAAAAAUUACUUGGUAGUUUAGGAGGAAUCAAAGUAUAAACUUUUAAAGCAAACAGAAAUUAUUAUAGUUCUUAUACACUAGGAAACAUCAUAAAGUGUAUUUAAACUUACGUUUUUCUUAUGGAGUUUUUUGGGAUUACAAUCCUCCAAAUGGAUGAGGUUUGGCAUCUUAAAAGACAAAAGCACAGCCCUAAAAGAAACUCCCAGGGCAUUCACUAUAAUGAAUAUAAGUAAGAUUUAUAUUUAAUCUGUGUGUAUCUUACCCUAUGGCUGAGAGAUUGUGACUGCUUAAUUUCUGUGCCUUUCAGGGGGCUAGACUAUGAGCCUGAGCAAGCAGGACCUGGCACCUCCUCUCAAACACUGUAGAAAAUGGCACCCCCUGUGGCAGUAAAGCAAACAGCUUCUGCCAGGAAGGGCCCAACAUGUGGCCUAGCAUGAGGUGAAAAUACAGGUCUGAAGGCCACUGCCAGGAUUCCCACCCCAGACCAGGCAGUUGGCCAUAUAAUGAAGAUUUAUAUUUCCGAUAGUGUGUCUGCAUGUGUCUGUGCUUUGCUCUGAGGCCAAGAGGAUAUGACUGCACAACUUCCAGAACAGACCAGAUCAGAUGCCAUCUAGUUUGUUAGGCCAUGAGCCUGACCAGGCAGAAAUUGGGCCUUUCAGAUACAGGAGAAGACCACAUGGCCCCCUCCAGAAUGGUCCCAACCUGAGGCAACAACAGCCCAAAGGCAUGAAGCUCGACAUGAGGGCUGAACAAAAUGGAGACCUCCAAAUGAAGGCUUCCUAAUAUAUUUGCAAAGGCUAUAAAGCUGAACAUGAGGCCGAAAACAAGAUGAAUGCCUCCCAAUAUAAUGGCAAGAUUUAAAGCCUAAUGAGGCCUGAAACAAAAGAGAGCCCCCCCCCCCACAAAUAUAAUUGCAAGAACUUAAAGCCUAAUAUGAGGCCAAAGUUUAACUCCUAACAUGAGGCAUGCAAUAAAAUGUAGGACUCAGUAUGUGAUGACACAGUUAAUGAGUGGAAUUGCCUGUGCCUUCCUCUGGCUGAGAGAGUGUGACUCACUCAAGCAACAACUUACUAGGAUUUUAUUUUAAAGGGAGGAAGGCAAACCUCCUCUGCUACAGAAUGUGCCUUCCUUGAGGCAGCCCAGGAGGGGAACUCUACUUAGUGCAGCCACCCAAAACUCCACCCCAGCCCUAAUGGUCCGCUGCUGGUAAAUUCGUGCCAAUAAAUGCCAGUGGCAGAAACUACCCAAAUUGUAGGGUGUCCCCCUGAGGUAAAGGCAUAGCAAUGGGAAUCCUACCCUGUUUCCCCUAAAAUAAGACAUCCCCAGAAAAUAAGACCUAGUAGAAGUUUUGCUGAAUUGCUAAAUAUAAGGCCUCCCCCGAAAGUAAGACCUAGCAAAGGUUUAGUUUGGAAGCAUGCCCGCCAAACAGAACACCAGAGCAUGCAGGAUCGAUAAAUGUGUUGUACAUGGAAAUAAUGGUAGUAACAAGAAAUUCUUGUUAGGAUUCACAGUUUGUCUGGUUAUGCUGGUUUGUGAAGACAACUACUGUACAGUAUAUAAUAAAUGUUCAUUUUUUUUGUUCAACAAUAAAUGUGAAUUCUUCUUCAUGGAAAAAUAAGACAUCCCCUGAAAAUAAGACCUAGAGCAUUUUUGGGAGCAAAAAUUAAUAUAAGGCACUGUCUUAUUUUCGGGGAAACACGGUAUUAUCCUUUGGAAAAGGGGAGGGGAGGGAGCAAGGAGGGAAAGAACUAAUGCCCCAUUAGGAACCUGCCUCCUAAGAAGCAAAGAGCACAGCAGGUGGGCGGAGCAUCUUAAAUAGCCUGAAGCUUCACCCCUAUCAACCGACUCCACCAAGUCUGGUCUCCUCCAUGAGGGCCUUCAAAUUCCACCUGCAUGUCUUAGGAUUUUUCUAACAGUUAUGGGUGGGCCAGCUUGGUUGCUUCCACUAUAUCGGCAAAUAAUGACAGUGUUACUAAAUUGUCAAAAUUUCCUUGAGAUGGUGCUUGUAGUUCUGGAAGGACUUGUUUAAUUUUUGCUUCUCAUACACUUCACAUGGGGAUUUGGUUAACCAGUUAAAAUUCAUAAAUAAACCAGUUUUUUUAAACCUGAAUUUGGGGGGGGGGGGGGUGAAACCUUAAACCCCUAACCCCUACCCUUGGCUACAGCCCUGAGCAUAGGUACCCUUUCUGACCCAUUGUAAGGUUCUCAGAAAGCCCUAAAUUGUUUGCUAGUCAACAGCUGCCAGAGGUACCAGUUAUCUCGCCGCCAAAUUCCAGACUUCCAUGACCUUCCUUCAGGAGAUCACAUGAGAUCACGAGGCUAUGGAUAGGAAGCUGAAGGGCAUUGAUGCUCAGGUCGUCAGUUUGUCUCUCCUCCCAAUUCAAGGUCAUAGAAGAAUAAAAGAAGUGCAUUAUUGGCUUUGCAGAUGGUACCAUGAGGAACAAUUUUGACUUCCUGCACCAUAAUCUGAGGUUUAAUGACAUUUGGCCUCUGGCAAGGGAUGGUUUGCAUCUCAUAGAGAAUAGGAGAGGUUCCAGUACACCAGAGGAAAUAAAAUGUUGUUACCAUCUUCAAAAAAAAAAAAAAAAAAAAGGGGGGUGGUGGUGGUGGAUCCAAACAAUUACUGCCCAGUCAGUCUGCCAUUAAUACUAGGAUAGGUUUAGGAGCACUUAGAAAAGAAUGUCAUGCUCACAAAAAAUCAUCAUGGGUUUCUAAAAACAAGUCAUGCCAGAUAAAGCUUAUCUCUUUUUUUGAUAGAGUUAUAACCUUGGUAUAUGAAGAGAAUGCUGCAGAAGUGGCAUAUCUUGAUUUCAGUAAGGCCUUUAACAAGCCUCGCUUCCCUGGUAUAUUCACAAAGAAGCUAAUAUAAUGUGGGCAAGACAAUGCAAUGACUGCAGGAUUGGGAACUACUUAACCGGAAUGGAUCUUCUCCAUCCUGGAGAGAGUUGACAAGUGAGAUGCCACAGGAUUAUUCAACAUCUUUAUCAUUUAUUUGGAUCAUGGAAUCGAGGGCAUGCUUAUCAAAUUUGCAAAUGACAUCAAAUUAGAAAAGAUAGCCAGUGAUCCAGACGACAGGCCCAGAAGCCAAAAUUCCCUUAACAGAUGAUAGAGCUGGGCCAAAAAUCGCAAUAAAAAGAAUUUCAACGUGGAUAAAUGUAUGGUACUGCACUUAGGCAGAAGAAAAAUUAGAUGCACUGAUACAGGAUGGGUGACACCUGGCUUAAAAAUAAUACACAUUAAAAGGAUUUAGUAAACUACAAGUUGUGAUGUGGAAGCUAAAACAGCCAAUGCAAUUCUAGGCUCUAUCAAUAACAGCAUAGUGUCAGACCUCACCUGGAAUACUGUGCCUAGUUCUGGGAAAUUUGAGAAGGAUAUAAAAAAUUAGCAUGUGCCCAGAGAUGGGUGACCGCCAAACAAGUUUUGGAAACCAAGCCCUAUGAAGAACAGCUGUGGGAUCUUUGGGAGGUUUAACUUGGAAAAAAGAAGCCUGAGACGAGACAUGAUAGCCUUAUUGAAAUAUUUGAUCAAAAAUUUGAACAUGGCUAUCAGAUGUUCAUAUCAAAUGUUUAAACAUGAUAGCCAUAUCUAAAUAUUAGGUCUGGACACUUAGCAGAAUGCCUUAAGCAACCUAUAUGCUUUUGCCUGGUAAAGUGAGGGAUGGAGCUGCAUCAUUUUUCUAUCUCUUUCAGUUAUGAUACUGUAAAUAUGAAGGUCUUAAGAGCUACAGAUCAAGAGGAAAUAGCAAGUGUGUGUGUGUGUAUCCGUCAGUGUGACUAGGUUCAAAGUAAAGAUUUUGUUUCAUUCAGCCCAAAUUUGUAUCACAGAGCUGAUUAUUUAGACAAUUUCUAGGAAAAGUCUAAUACAAUUUCUAGGUGGUAGGAAUAAUGGUCAAAAAUGUAAACAAAGUUUUUGAGUUAAGGUUAUUGUACACUAUGUCACUGUUCAGUGAGAGAAAGAGUCGUAAUUGUUGUAGCUGCAUUCAGCCACAGGGUGGCAAUACAGGCAAGUACAUAACUGGAGAUAGACUUUUUCAUAUGCAAAACAUUUCACAGAGAGCUGGGGGUAGCACUGUUCCUGAAGUGGGAUAGCUCGCAUUUGUAUGAAAGGAUCAUGUUCAGGGGACCACUCCAAUUAGCAGAAGAAAAUUAAUCUCUUCAUCAGUCAAAGUCAUUAUAUUUGCAUAAGAAAUUGAAACAGAAGGGAAAGGGAGACAGAGAGGUGAGAAGCAUGGAAGACUACUUCAGGAGCAAACAAGGUCUGUGUUUUUUACUAUUCCUUUAUGUUACUGAUAUACUGUGUGUCUCAAUUCAUUAUUCCCUGCCUGAAGAGAAGAAAACUGGCUCUCUUGUGGCUAACGUGCUGAAGGAUUUGAAACUGGGAGUCGGAGAGCUCUCUGCUCGCAGAGCCCAGCUAGUGUCCAAAAGCUCUAAGCAGUAUUUCCGCCUUGAUACCCACUCUGGGAAUCUGCUCAUAAGUGACAAAAUAGACAGAGAGGCUCUGUGUGGACUAACUGAACCUUGUUUACUUGUCUCUCAAAUUGUGCUACAAAAUCCUCUGAAGAUCUAUAGUAUUGAAAUAAAGAUAGAGGAUGUUAAUGACAAUGCCCCCAAAUUCUCAAAAACUGAUUUCCAGUUUGAAAUUCCUGAGAACAUUCCCCCAAAUACAAGAUUUCCCUUGGAAUCUGCCCAGGAUGAAGACCUGGGAGAAAACAGUAUCCAAAACUACACCCUCAGUCCCAGUGAGUAUUUCCACCUGGGUGUGGAAAGCAAUACUGAUGGAAGCAAAUAUGUGACUCUCAUUCUGGAGAAAGCUCUGGACAGAGAGAAAGAGACCAAUUUGGUGCUGAUACUUACAGCUGUUGAUGGAGGAGUACCCCAGAGGACAGGCACAAUUCAAAUUAAUGUUAAUGUACUCGACAGUAAUGAUAACUUUCCUGAAUUUACUCAGUCUGAGUACAAGGCAAUAUUGAAGGAAAACUGUGCAAGGGAUACUUUGGUGUCCAGAGUAGAAGCAAGAGAUUUGGAUUUUGGAUCAAAUGCUCAGAUCACCUAUUCCUUCCAUCGAAUACCUGAAAAACUAUAUAAUCUGUUUCAUUUGAAUGAAAUGACUGGAGAAAUCACUACUUUUGGAGAAAUUGAUUAUGAAAAAGAAACCAAUUAUGAAAUGACUAUUAAAGCAACAGAUGGAGGGGGUCUUUUUGGGCACUGCAAGGUUCUGGUGGAGAUUGAGGACGUGAAUGAUAAUGCCCCAGAAGUCUCAGUCAUAUCGAUCAACAGCCCUUUGCCAGAGGAUACUCCACUUGAGACACUUGUUGUCCUAUUUAGUGUUGAAGAUCAAGAUUCUGGGGACAAUGGACAAACUCUUUGCUCUGUGGAUAUGAAUCUACCUUUUGUAUUAAAAGUUACUACAAAUAGCUUUUAUCAGCUUCUAAUCCAACGUCCCCUGGACAGAGAGAAAGUGUCAGAAUACAAUGUCACCAUCACAGCAAUGGAUCGUGGGUCUCCUAGGCUCACCUCAACAAGAAUUAUCAAUGUGCAGAUAUCAGAUGUUAAUGACAAUCCCCCAGUAUAUGAAAAAUCUUUGUUUGAAAUGCAGCUACAAGAAAAUAAUAUUCCAGGCCUACUAAUUGGCUCAGUCCAAGCUGUUGAUCUGGAUACAGAGCAGAAUGCCAAACUGUCCUACUCCCUUUUACCUGGGAACAUUGGUGGUGGCCCUGUGGCUUCUUACAUCUCCAUCAAUUCUGAAACAGGAAACAUGUAUGCCCUUCGAUCUCUGGACUAUGAGAAAAUAAAAGAUUUCAAAGUAACAGUAAAGGCAACUGACAGAGGCACUCCUUCUCUGAGUUCAGAUGUUGUUGUUCAUGUCAUUAUCACCGAUGAAAAUGACAACACUCCCUUCUUCCUGUAUCCCCUUCAGAACAGCACAUCUCCCUGCAAUGAGCUGCUUCCCAAGAUGGCAGAGGCCGGUUACCUGAUCACCAAAGUGGUGGCUGUGGAUGGAGAUUCUGGUCAGAACUCUUGGCUCUCCUAUGAACUCCUGAAGGCCACAGACCCUGCUCUUUUCAGCAUAGGAGCCCAGAAUGGAGAAGUGAGAACCAGGAGACCACUGACUGAGAGAGAUGCCAGCAAACAGAGGCUUGUUAUUGCAGUCAGAGACAAUGGUGUCCCUCCUCAGACCAGCACUGCAAUGCUCAAUAUUCUUCUGGUGGAUGGCUUUUCUGAUCCUUACCUGAAGGUGGUGGAUGUCCGUCAACAGGACCCAGAAGAUGAGGGAACCUUGACAAUGUACUUGGUGAUUUGCCUGGCAACUGUCUCUUUUGUGUUUCUCCUUUGCAUUGUUUCCUUUGUUGGGAUCAAGAUGUGCAAGAAAGACCAUGGAAGCAGUUUUAUUGUCGCUCCUCCUCACUUUCCACCUAAUAUUCCAGAGAAUUGUACCGAUUCUCAGAGCGGCUCACUUUCUAGGAAUUAUCCAUAUGAUGUUUGUUUAACGAAUGGAUCCCUGAGCAGUGAGUUCAGAUUUCUCCGCCCUCUCAUCCCUGUUUUUUCUGUAGCGGAUCCAAACAGUGCAGUAAACCACAACAACUCUUCUGUUUCCCAAGAACAUCCUGAGUGUUUGGAUGACAAUAAAGCAGGGGAGCAGGUGAGAGAUUAACAUAAUGGGGCUUGCAUUUUCCUUGGUCAUUAGCCAUUAUCAAUAUUCAUUUCUCCUUAUUUAUCUUCCUGUCAACUGCACAUAUUUUGCUUAGAGAUGUAGUUUUGUAAUAAUCUAUCUGUUCAUUUCAAAUAGUUGAGAACUAGUUCUGUUUUACUGCUGAACUAUCCCUCUCUCAGAAUUUCUUGUUCUCCAUUGCUUGUCCAUUUUUUUCAGUGUUCAUCUUUUUUUGUGUAACCAUACCUCUAUUCUUCAUGUCUUGCAGCUGUAUAUCUCAAACCUUUUUAUGCAUCUCUACAUUUUUCUUCAGCAAUUGUAUUAUUUAAACUCUGUUGCUCUUGGUGCAUUGUCUUAUAGGUCCUUUCCAAGUAGUGCUUCAUGUAGUUUUUUAUCAUGUCAGAAGCGACUUCAGAACAUACUGCAAGUCACUUCUGGUGUGAGAAAACUGGCCGUCUUCAGAGACGUUGCCCAGGGGAUGCCCAGAUGUAUUACCUUCUGCUGGGAGGCUUCUCUCAUGUCCCUGCAAGCUAGAACUGACAGUCAGGAGCUCACUCCAUCUCACGGAUUCAAACUUGCAACCUUCAGGUCAGCAACCCAACCUUCAGGUCAGCACAAGGGUUUAACCCAUUGCUCCACUAUGGUUCCUUGCUUCAUGUAGUUAAUCAAAAAUUAUCUAGGCAUGUUUGAUAACUAACCAAUUAUGUAUUGAUAAUAGCUUUUUAUAUUUUAAAAAACUCACAUCAAAAAAUCUAUAUUAUCUGAUUGAACCAGAGUUUCCAGGUAUAUGCACAUGCAGUUAGAAAUUGUGAUAAUUAUUAGGUCAUUUUGAAUAAUAUUAAACUGUUAAAUCAAUUUAGGUAAUAUUGAUGGCUUUUUAUAUGAAUGUAACAUUUUAUUAAUGGGAUAUUGAUGAUUAAAGUAACAAACUAUUUCUUUUUUUCUGAUAAUAUUUUAAGCAAAUGCUUUUAAAGCCAAUAUACUAUUUUAGAUCCAAUAUUUACAUGCUGUGGUAUGUUUAUUUUCAUAUUUUCACAACAUUCAUAUGCCUUAUAUAUGAGUCCUGUGUCUGAAAGAACACUAGGUUUUCAUCUUUAUGGAUUCUCUAUAUUCACAAUCUCCACACUUCUCUAAGCCAACAUGUAUAAAAAUCCUGCUAUCUAGACCUUUGGUAAAAAGAACAGGAAAUAUUGUGGAAGGGAGGGGUGUUAGCGUUCCCCUCGUCAUUCAUAAUUCCAUUUCCUUCUAUUCAUGAUGAAAGCUGUGGCUGAAGUAGAGGACUGCUAUGUCCAUUGAGGAUGGCCACAUAAGUUAGAAAUAUGGUGUCAAUUUUCUUUUCCAAAUUUUAAAUGUAUUUUUAUUAAAUUUUAACCAUAUAUGCAAUACUAGCUGUGCCCGGCCACACGUUGCUGUGGCGUUGUCUGGUGGUGUUGGUGAGAAAUUAUUGAGGUAGUGGUGGUAUUGAAUGUGUGUUGUAUGGUUGUCUUUAUGUUUAGUAUGCAUUUGGUUGUGUGUGUACUGUGAAAGUGGUGAGGGUAGAGGGGGUCUAUGUCCCUGUGUAGUAUUGUAUACUAUUUAUACAUUGUCCGUGUGUUGUGAAUGCUUGGAUUGUGUCCUGCUGCAUAGUAGAAAGGGUUGGGCUGGAUGGUCCUUAGGGGUCUUUCCAAACUCUUGUGCCUGUCCCCUGGGCUGAGUAGGUUUCUAGGAAACCAAGUGGGUUGAACUUAGCCUUGUAACUGGCAGCAAUUGGAUAAAAACAAUUAUUCCUCUCCCUCUAAUUAGGACUUUCUUUUUCUUUUCUUUUUGUUGUAUCAACCUAGAGCCGUGGAUGAUGGGUUGUGUCAUCAAAUUUCGAGGUUGGGGGGCCUGUAGUUUUGUUGUUUUGUCCGCUGCCCUGAUGCCAUCACUCUUUUAUAUAUAUAGAUUACACCAAUAAACCUAAUUUAAAAUCUUGGUUUUGUCUCAUACACCCUUUUUCACUUAUGUUUACAAAUUUCUUUCCUUUUUUAAUAAUUUUUAUUCAGAAUUUUUACAAAUAGAAUAAAAAAGAAAAAAACCCUCCAAAUUGAAAAGGAAAACACGAAAUAAGACAUUAGGGUAAAAAUACAAAGCCCAGUCUAAAGGAAUAAACAAGAAGAAAAAAAGAAAAAGAAAAGGAAUAAAGGAUAGUUUUUGGUCUUCCAUUCUUUGCUCAUUGCGUUUUCCUUUCAAGUAUGUAUCAUCUUUUCUUACAUUUCUGGUCUCUCCUUAUUUUCUGUCCUUGGGACUCUUUUUUACUAUAUUAAGUCCUUCUUUCUAUAUUCUUUGUAUGUCUUCCGAUCUGUUCUCCUUAGUGGUUUACCAUUACUUUCCUUCAAAAGGAAAGUUAAUCUGUCCAUAUCAUGGAUUUCGUCACGUUUGUCUAGCCAUUGUUCGUUCAUAGGGAUUCCUUGCAUUUUCCAACAUCUUGCAAAGGUAAUUCUUGCCGCAGUAGUUAUGUAAGUAAAUAAAAGGUCUUCAUUCUGGUUAAAGUCCACUGCUCCAUCCAUUAAUCCUAAAAGGUAAUAUUCCGCUUUCAUAGGGAAUGUUUUCUUCAUAAUUUUCUGCGUUAUUUCGUGAAUUCUUUUCCAAUAUCUUGUUGUUUCUGUGCAAGUCCACCAUGCAUGAUAAAAUGUUCCCUCAUGCUUUCUACAUUUCCAACAAUUUUUCUGAAUAUCUUUGUACAUAGAUCCUAAUUUCUUUGGUGUUAGAUACCAAUACAAUACCCAUACAAUAAACAAAACAACAUUAAAAACACACACACAGGAAGGUGGAUAGCAAUCUGCCCAUAACACACAUGAUCCUGCUUGGUCACUUCACUCACCAAGAGAUGGAUCAACAGCAAAUACUUGCCACCACAUGCACAAGUUGCGGCAUGUUCAUGUUGUUUGCACAACAACUACUCAACUACACCUGCACCAAGUGUAAACAGAUGACUCUGAUGGAGCAGAGCAGGGGUCCUCAAACUUUUAAAGCAGAGGGCCGGUCCACAAUCCUUCAGACUGUUGAGGGGCCAAAUGAUCAUUUGAAGAAAAAAAUGAACAAAUUCCUAUGCACACUGCAUAUGUCUUAUUUGUAGUGCAACAACAACAACAACAACAACAAUGAAAGAAAAAUACAAUAUUUAAAAAUAAAAACAAUUUUAACCAACUCAAACCGAUCAGGAUUUCAAUGGGAAGUGUGGACCUGUUUCUGGCCAACAAGAUAGUCAAGUUAAUUAGGAUUAUUGUUGUUGUGUGCCUUCAAGUCAUUUCAGAUUUUGAGCGAGCCUAAGUCAAAAUUUAUUUUUAUUUAUUUAUUUACUACAUUUAUAUCCUGUCCUUCUCACCCCGAAGGGGACUCAGAGCGGCUUACAAUUUAUAUCUAUAUACAAUAAAUUAUAUUAUAGCAUAGAACAAUAUUAGCAUUAUAUAUUACUAUAUUGAAUAAUACCACUAUAUUGUAAUAUUAUUAGUAAUAUUACAUGUAAUAUAUAAUACAUAAUUAAUAUUAUUAUAUGGUAUUAUUAUUAGUAUUACAUUGUAAUAUUUCUAUCAAUAUUAUAUGUAUAUACAAUAUUAUAUUAUUAAAACUGAUAUAAAAAUAUUAUAUUAUAAAACUGAGGGCAGGGGCCAGGUAAAUGACCUUGGAGGGCCACAUCCGGCCCCCGGGCCUUAGUUUGGGGACCCCUGGAGCAGAGGAUCCAACAACUCGAGGCCUGCAUUAAGACCCUUAAGGACAUUCAGGCAUUCGAGCUCUUCUUGGACACUGCACAACAUGCUGCUGUAGAUCUGCUGUAGAUCUGCAGCCUGCAUCACACCAACACCGCCAUGAUCAGGAACUUUAUGGGGAGAUCAACUCAAAAGUAGACAACCCUCAGGCUUGGAAGGAGGUCAUCCAUAGAAAGAGACACAGGACCAGGCAGCCUCCGCAGAACUCCUUUGCUCAGCUGGAUUUACACAACAGAUUCCAAAUUCUUACACCACUAACAUACAAUCAGGAAACACAUCUUGUGGAGGGAGGACCACAGUUACUUAGCUACCACUCAGUGGGCCACCCUUGAUCAAUGCACAGGGGAUAGCCCUGACGGGGACAGUGCAUCACCACAUUCACACUUAUGUAAUAAUGCAAAUGCUCCAUCCCCAAUCGUAAACCAGGAGCAACAGGAACAUCCUUGGGAGAGUGAUGGGCUCUCGGACACAUCUCAAUGGAUUGUCAUUGAUGAAUGCACUGGGGAUGUUGAGGAGGAGGACAACACUUUACACCUACAUAAUUCACUUCAACAGGAACACUCUUCAGGGGACAUGCACACUGUCUUGCCCAAAAGGGACCCUGUCAAUCCUCAAAGGAAACAGGUCUUGGUAGUAGGUGACUCCCUCCUUAGAGGAACGGAAGCCAUCAUUUCCAAACCAGAUGGGAUGGCUCGAGAAAUAUGAUGCCUCCCAGGGGCAAAAAUACACCAUAUCACUCAGAGACUCAGCAGGCUCCUAAAGCCCCGUCACCCUCCCCACCUUAUGUUGAUUCAUGUAGGAACCAAUGACACAGCUAGGCAUACUUUUCAAAAGAUCAAAAAUGAUUUUCAAGCUCUGAGAACAAAGCUAAAACUGUAUAAUGUACAUGUGAUCUUUUCAUCCCUCCUCCCCGUUGUAGGACACAGCUCUACAAGGGCCGGAAAAAUAGUACAGGUCAAUAACUGGCUCAGAAAAUGGUGUCAAGAGGAGCAUUUUGGCUUUCUUGACCAUGGUCUACUCUUCCAGGAGGAUGGCCUACUGGCAAGUGAUGGGCUGCAUCUCACACAAGUAAGAAAACAUCUUUUUGCACACAGACUCAUAAACCUCAUCAGGCACACUUUAAACUAGAUCCACUGGGGGAAGGGAACAACAGUCUGGCAAACACUAUAUUACCCACGACCACAGGGAACCGCCAAAAGGCUAAACGGAGGGCUGCACAAACACAGCAACGACCAAGUCCUGAGAGCACAAUAAUCCCAAAUAAACAGCUCGGGGGAAGGUCACAGGGGCUUACAUGUCUUUACACUAAUGCACAGAGCAUGGGAAAUAAGCAAGACGAACUCCAACUUAUAGCACAGAACCACACAUACGACAUCAAAGGCAUCACUGAAACCUGGUGGGAUGACUCCCAUCACUGGAAUGUAGCCAUUGAGGGCUAUAACCUCUUUCACAGAAAUAGAACAAAGGAGAGAGGAGGGGGAGUAGCUUUAUAUGUUAAAAACAGUUAAGUUGCAGAAGAAAUGCAAGACUGUAAUCCAGGAAACCAGCUUGAAAGCAUCUGGAUAAGAAUCAAGGGAACCGGGACUCAAAAAGAUCUCGUCAUGGGUGUCUACUACAGACCUCCAAACCAGGAUGAAGAACUUGAUGAAGCCUUCUGUCAGCAGCUAACCAAACAGGCACAAAGAAGAGAUAUAGUAGUCAUGGGUGACUUCAACUAUCCUGAUAUCUGCUGGAAAACAAACUUGGCCAAGAGCACAAAGUCCAACAAAUUCCUCACUUGCCUUGCAGACAAUUUUAUGGUCCAGAAGGUAGAAGAGGCAACAAGGGGAUCAGCAACUCUUGAUCUAAUCUUAACAAAUGUGGAAGACCAGAUCAAAACAGUAGAAGUCAUCAGAUCCUUAGAGGCAAGUGACCAUGUGCUCCUGCAGUUUGCCAUACAAAGGAAGGCUGAAACUAAGACAAGUCAAACACGCAUUCUGGACUUUAAGAGAGCUGACUUCCAAAAAAUCAAGGAAAAUGAAGGCUUAAUGCCUUUUUUGCCUCAUUCUUCUCACAAAAAGAAAGCCAUCCUCAACCUCAGCAACAUGAAAUGGACGAAGGAUUUGGGGAAAUCCAACCCCAGAUAGGGAGACAAGUUGUCCAGGAACACCUGGCUGCUCUAAACGAAUUCAAGUCCCCAGGGCCAGAUCAGCUACAUCCAAGAGUAUUGAAGGAACUAGCUGAGGUUAUUUCAGAACCACUGACAAUUAUCUUCAAGAGUUCUUCGAGAACAGGAGAAGUCCCAGAAGAUUGGAGGAGGACAAAUGUGGUCCCUAUCUUCAAGAAGGGAAAAAAGAACAACCCAAACAAUUACCGUCCGGUCAGCCUCAUAUCAAUACCAGGCAAGAUUCUGGAAAAGAUCAUUAAGGAAGUGGUCUGCAAACACUUAGAAACAAAUGCUAAUAGUCAACACGGAUUUACCAAAAACAAGUCAUGCCAGACUAAUCUGAUCUCUUUUUUCGAUAGAGUUACAAGUUGGGUCGAUACAGGGAAUGCCAUGGAUGUACCGUACCUAGAUUUCAGUAAGGCCUUCGGCAAGUCCCUCAUGACCUUCUGGCAAACAAACUAGUAAAAUGUGAGCUAGACAAAACUACGGUUAGGUGGAUCUGUAAUUGGCUAAGAAAACGAACCCAAAGGGUGCUGACCAAUGUGUCGUCUUCAUCUUCGAAGGAAGUCACGAGUGGAGUGCCGCAGGGUUCCGUCCUGGGCCUGGUUCUCUUUAACAUCUUUAUUAAAGACUUAGACGAAGGGUUAGAAGGCACGAUCAUCAAGUUUGCAGAUGACACCAAACUGGGAGGGAUAGCCAACACUCCAGAAGACAGGAGCAGAAUUCAAAACGAUCUUGACAGACUAGAGAGAUGGGCCGAAACUAACAAAAUGAAGUUCAACAGGGAUAAAUGCAAGAUACUUCAUUUCGGCAGAAAAAAUGGAAUGCAAAGAUACAGAAUGGGGAACGCCUGGCUCGACAGCAGUACGUGUGAAAAAGAUCUUGGAGUCCUUGUGGACAACAAGUUAAACGAGCCAGCAAUGUGAUGCGGCUGCUAAGAAAGCCAAUGGGAUUCUGGCCUGCAUCAAUAGGGGUAUAGCAUCUAGAUCCAGGGAAGUCAUGCUCUCCCUCUAUUCUGCCUUGGUCAGACCACACCUGGAAUACUGUGUCCAAUUCUGGGCACCACAGUUGAAGGGAGAUGUUGACAAGCUGGAAUGUGUCCAGAGGAGGGCAACUAAAAUGAUCAAAGGUCUGGAGAACAAGCCCUAUGAGGAGAGGCUUAAAGAAUUGGGCAUCUUUAGCCUGCAGAAGAGAAGGCUGAGAGGAGACAUGAUAGCCAUGUACAAAUAUGUGAGAGGAAGUCAUAGGAGGAGGAAGCAAGCUUGUUUUCUGCUGCCCUGAAAACUAGGACACGGAACAAUGGCUUCAAACUACAGGAAAGGAGAUUCCACCUGAACAUCAGGAAGAACUUCCUCACUGUGAGGGCUGUUCGGCAGUGGAACUCUCUCCCCCGGACUGUGGUGGAGGCUCCUUCUUUGGAAGCUUUUAAACAGAGGCUGGAUGGCCAUCUGUCGGGGGUGCUUUGAAUGCGAUUUCCUGCUUCUUGGCAGACCGUUGGACUGGAUGUCCCAUGAGGUCUCUUCCAACUCUACUAUUCUAUGAUUCUAUGAUUCUACCAGCGAUGGAACAUCUCAAGCCAUUUUCUUGUAAAUCUGAAGAAUACGUGUAUUUUAAUUUUUGUUCCAUAUUAACUCUCAUUCUGCUAACCUAAUUGAGCAUCCAAAAUUUUUUGCCCAUUCUAUCAUACAUUUCUUUAUUUCCUCAGUUGUUGUGGACUAUUCUACCAACUGGUUAUAUAUGAUAGUAAUAUCUUUCUUAUUGCUUUGUAACAUUUUAUCCCAAAAAAAAAUUUACUUCACUAAAUCCUGUUUCUUUAUCCUUCACAAAUUGCUCUUUGAUUUGUGCAACCACGUCUCAGCUCAAAACUUUCUAGCGCUAAGAUAUUCUUAUUUUGUAGUAAUGUCCAGUCUUUUAACCAUAAUAAUGCACACACUUCAAAGUAAAGUUUUAAAUUUGGGAGGCCAAAGCCUCCCUUCUUUUUUGUGUCCGUCAUUAUUGUAUAUCUUAUUCUUGGUCUCUUUCCUUUCCAAAUAAAUUUUGUAAUUUCUUUAUUCCACUUAUUAAAGAUCUUGUUGUUUCUUAUUAUUGGCAAAUUUUGAAAUAAAUACAACAAUUUCAGUAGAAUAUUCAUUUUUACUAUUGCUAUACGACCUAAUAGUGAAAUAUUCAAAUUCUUCCAAUUUUGCAAGUCCUUCACUAUUUCUUUCCACUUCUCUUGGUAAUUAUUCUUUAAUAACUGUGCAUUUUUCACAGUAAGCCAGAUUCCUAGAUAUUUCUUUCCCGUCAAUCUUUUUACAAAUAAAUUAUUUUCUACUAAAUUUCCUAAUUUUAUUAAUAGUUAUAUCUUCUCCACAUCAUUUGUCCAAAAUGUCACCAAUUUAAAUCUGCUAUUGCUCUGGCACAUAUAGCUGAAUUUCUCCCAGUCCUCUUAUUUCCUGCCUUUUUUGAAUAUCCCAUUUUCAUUUUCUUUUCAUCCUACAUUCAUUCUGAUAUCAGAGAUUUCAUAUUUUUCUCCACACUGAAUUCACACAAAAUGUUAAUUCCCCCCUAAUUAAUAGUCUCUUGCAUUUGUAUGGAACUGUUAUCUGUUUCUGUUUGUCUCAUUUGUACAACCCACUUUCUGUUUCCUUCUGCCACUUCUGAAAAUGAGUGCCUAUCCAAAUGAGCUAUGUCUUCCAAGGUCCCACUUUGCCUGGCUUCCAUGAGGAAAGAGCAGCAGGGCAAAUCUGUAAUUCCGCUUGAAGCUCCCUGUCAGCAACACUUUCUCCAUUACACAGGGAAAGCAUCAUCCUCAUGGAGAAGCCCUGUGCUAGCUCCAUUAAAGCCAGCACAACACAGGAAGCCUCCCAUGUUGGGGGAAAAGCGUCCGGUGACACUUUCAUCAUGGUUCUAGGCAGGGCCUCCUUCAGAUGUCACACAACAUCCUGUGAUGUCUGGCAUCAGGCUGCGUCCAUUAGACAGGGUGAAAGCAUACUAGGAUCCUGAAUUCACCCUGCCAAGGCAGCAGAAACCAAGCUUGCUACCUCCUCCUUAUGACGUCCUUUCACAUACUUAUACAUCACAAUCAUUUCUUAUGUGGCUGCUAAAACAGCCAAUGCAAUUCUAAACUGUAUCAAUAAUAGCAUAGUGUCAAGCCUCGCCUGGAAUACUGUGUCCAGUUCUGGGCAAUUCGAAAAAGAUAUGACAAGCUAGAAUGUGUCCAGAGAAGGGCAACCUAAAUUAUCCAAAUUUUGGAAACCAAGUCCUAUGAAGAACAGCUGAGGAAGCUUAGGUAAGUUGAACUUGGAAAAAAGAAGACUGAGUGGAAACAUGAUAGGCACAUUUAAAUAUUUCAUUAAAUAUUUGAACAUGGCUAUAGAUGUCCACAUCAAAUAUUUAAACAUGAUAGCUAUAUUUAAAUAUUUAGUGUGGACACUGUUCAGUAUGCCAUAAGCAACCUAUUUCUUUUUGCCUGGUAAAGUGAAGGAUAGAUCUGCAUAAUUUUUUUGCCUCUCAGUUAUGAAACUAAAUUUUAAAGUCUUCUUGUACACUGUUCAGUGAGAGAAACAGUUGUAGUAGUUGUAGCUUCAUUCAGCCACAGGGUGGCAAUAUAAGCAAAUACAUAACUGGAGACAGACUUUUUCAUGUGCAAACCAAUUCAGAGAAAAUUGGGUGUAGAAUUGUUCGUGAAGCGAGAUAGCUAAAAAGGGAAGAGAAAGAGAGAGGCUUGAACCAUGGAAGACUGCUUCAGGAGCAAACAAGGUCCAAGCUUCUCUCACUGAAGAUGCAGCUCCCAGAUCAGGAGGCCCAGGUUGCACAGUUAAUCAAGCCAUAGGUGCAAAUGCAAACUCAGGUCAAAAUGACUGGCUUUCCUAUCAAUAGAAGAGGAUAAUCCACUCAGCCCAUCGUCUCUUCUCUGCAGGAAGGAAGAUAAAAGGGCCAAGAGACAAAGAUUCAGGCAGCCAGAGGACAUGGGUCCUCUUCCUAAAAACGAAAGACAUCAGGCAUGAAGACUUGAAAAUGCUUUUGUUUGGGCCGAAUUGAAAUGAACAGGAGUACCCUUGUGGUGCUCCCUUUUAUUUCAAUGGGUUCUGCGUAAGAGAAUUUAGAGUUGGAUUGUGCCCAUCCACUUCCCAGGUAUAUAACUGCAUAAUUAUUUAUGUUAUAUAAGAUUUUGCAAUAGACUACUGCUUUUCUGGCUAGCUUUUAAAGAAACAUAGGAGACCCUAUUGCAUGCUUUUUGCUGUCGUGAUUCGACCUUAGUUUAUAAUCAUUAGACAUUCUUUCUGCUCUUCUCAAAAUAUUUUCAAUUGCUUAUACCAACCUUUCAGGUGUUCUCGUCAUUGAUUUUUCUCAUAUAGAGUAUUGCAAAGCAGCUGUUCUUAAUGAAUUCAUAGCAAAACAACUGAAUGAAUACACUUAAUAAUAAAGAGAAGAAAAUGGUGGACACUGUCCAGCAGGAAUUUGAAAGAAAUGGCAGUUUCAUAAAGGAAGAGCAGUUCUAUUCAUUUCAGUUCCAAGUGAAAAUUUUGUUUCUCGGAAAACUGUUCUGUUUAUUUCCUAGUUGUAUUUUAAACUAUCUGUGCACUUGCCUGUCUGAAUGCUUAAUUCUACCACUUUCUGUAAAGAUAUUUGUGCUGGUAACCUUCCUUGUGUCCACAUGUCCAAACAUGCAUACCACGUUGCCUGAGAUUUCAGGGCCCAAACAUGAAGGCUAUUGGGCUUAUGAUGGCACAGGGGCAGGGACUUCUGAUGUUAUGGGAGAGGGGGCAGCAAAUGUUGGCAACUAAGCCAAAACUUAUUCUGAUUCAACUGAUUAUGGUAAUAUGCAUGAAGGCAAUCGGGCUGAGUGGAAUCAAAAAUAAGAUAAACCCCACCAAACAGGUAAUGGGAAUAUCAAACUCAGGAGGAAGAAUAAUUGGACCAAGAUCCUACAUCAGGAGAUAUAACUAUGGAAUCUUAGCUUUAUCCCUGUAGCCACAUCUUCCAAUGACUGCCCCCUUACCCAAAAACAUCCACCUUACAAGCAGUGCAUCUUGUCCCAAUAUGACAAUUUCUGUGCUGCUAAAAAGCAAGGAGGCACUGCACUGCUUCAGAGGUAUGUUUCAGGAGACCUUUGGUUAUUAUGUGAUCAGAAGAGAUAUCUGACCUAUGCACUGGCCAUAAAAAUGAAUUGCAGCUGUGCGAAUCACUCGUGCAGCAUUGCAAUUCAUGAACAGCAUGCCAACCCAGGUAUUUUUGGUAGGUAGAAUAAUAUAUCUAGUAUCUGCAGUUGUUGCAAGUACUCUCACUAGGGCUCGCAGUCCAUGUGGCCUUAACCUACAGGGAACCUUCUGAACCAGGGGUUUUUGAGGGGCCCUUUGCAGCUGCUGGAACUUAUAAAUGGCUCACCUCCAGCAGUCAGGAGUUUUUCACCAGAUUAUGUACUGGGGCUGUAACCGGUUCUAUAACACAAAAGCUUAAGGAUUGUGACAUGUGCCCCAUUCCUUCCUUUCAUUAAAUAGCACCUUGAUCCUAAGUGCAUGCACCUACCAUCUCUUUCCUUAGUUCCAAGUCGUCAUUCCCUGGGUUUUUGACACACCAACAUUGCACAAGCACAACAUACAUACAGUCUCUUCGCACUAAUCACAAGAGCUCUGGUGCCAUUUUGGAAUGGGUGGAGGUGUAUGUCCAGAGCUUAAAAUAGCCUUGCAUAUAAAAAUUAUACUUUCUCCAGUAUUAUUUCCCUGAGAUUUGUCUUCCCACCAGGAGAUCUGUAAUAUUAUAGAAAUUCCUCGAGAUUUCAGCUGGUAUUGUGAGAAUUGGCAGCUGUAAUAAACACACACACACACACACACACAUAUAUAUAUAUAUAUAUAUAAAGGUUAUUCUUAUUUUCCUUUGAUUUAUCCCCCUGAGUCAAAUUCAGAUUAAGAAAAAUGUGGAAGCUAAUCCUUUGAAACAUUUAAAGGAGAAUUAAACCUGCAUUUGAAAAUGACACUGUGCCCACUUAUUCAUGUUCCAAAACAAACAAACAAGCAAGGGACCAUUAAAAUAGACCCAACUGUAGACCCCUAAUAAAGUGUUUCUGUAAACAGUUCUUAAAAGUAGUACAGACUCUACUAUGACUGUGUGCUUUUACAGUUAAGUGUUUAUGCAGUUGUGUGGGCUGGAUAGAGUUUUCUGCAAACCUUUUUGCUUUGAGAAUUGUGCUAUGCUUGGACAGUGUCAAUAAUUCACAAUGAUAGAUUAUUAUGAACCCUGUUUGAUGAACAAAUAGCUAAUAGUCUUAUAGUGAAAGCAAGCUAAGUAGUAUAAGAGUGCAAUUCACACACUACUGGAACAAUCAUGAAAAUACACUAUUUUCUUAAAGAUGUGAAAUGCACCGAUUUCUUGUUAUGCGCCGUCUUUUUUGUGUUAUGAUUAAAUAAACGGUGUAGUUUUUCAUAUUGUUUGCUAAAUUUAAUAUUGAGUUUGUAUGUAUUUAAAAUAAACACAAUUUCUAAAAUC